GGCAGCAGCCGCGGUAACACCGGCGGCCCGAGUGGUGAUCGUGAUUAUUGGGUCUAAAGGGUCCGUAGCCGGUUUGGUCAGUCCUCCGGGAAAUCUGAUAGCUCAACGUAUUAGGCUUUCGGGGGAUACUGCCAGACUUGGAACCGGGAGAGGUAAGAGGUACUACAGGGGUAGGAGUGAAAUCUUGUAAUCCCUGUGGGACCACCUGUGGCGAAGGCGUCUUACCAGAACGGGUUCGAUGGUGAGGGACGAAAGCUGGGGGCACGAACCGGAUUAGAUACCCGGGUAGUCCCAGCCGUAAACGAUGCUCGCUAGGUGUCAGGCAUGGCGCGACCGUGUCUGGUGCCGCAGGGAAGCCGUGAAGCGAGCCACCUGGGAAGUACGGCCGCAAGGCUGAAACUUAAAGGAAUUGGCGGGGGAGCACAACAACGGGUGGAGCCCUGCGGUUUAAUUGGACUCAACGCCGGACAACUCACCGGGGGCGACAGCAAUAUGUAGGCCAAGCUGAAGACUUUGCCUGAAUCGCUGAGGAGUGGUGCAUGG
RNAcentral lists this ribosomal RNA (543 nucleotides) under uncultured archaeon. RNAcentral describes it as "bacterial SSU rRNA". It matches the Rfam family "Archaeal small subunit ribosomal RNA", at positions 457 to 997 of the family's 1478-position model. The record is from RNAcentral.